CAUUGUACAAGGUGUUCCAUUU
This 22-nucleotide microRNA is filed under the name Sarcophilus harrisii (Tasmanian devil). RNAcentral's name for it is "Sha-Mir-7371-P13_5p* (star (passenger))". The record is from RNAcentral. Lineage: Eukaryota; Metazoa; Chordata; Mammalia; Dasyuromorphia; Dasyuridae.